RNAcentral lists this ribosomal RNA (370 nucleotides) under uncultured Glomeromycotina. Its description in RNAcentral is "LSU rRNA". The record is from RNAcentral. Lineage: Eukaryota; Fungi; Glomeromycota.
UUGAAAGGGAAACGAUUGAAGUCAGUCGUACCGACGGAGAAUCAACCUUUGGAGUGCGAGUCGAGGUAUUCGAGGAGUUUAAAAGCCUUCGUGUGCUCAUGUAUUCGUGCUUCUUGGGUGCACUUCUUCGUAUUGGUAGGUUAACAUCAAUUUUGGACGUUACAAAAUGACUGGGGGAAUGUAGCUUCGAUUUUUCGAAGUGUUAUAGCCCUUGGUAGAUGUGACGACCGGGAUUGAGGAUUGCAACGAAUGCUUUCGGGCUAUCCGUCUGNCUCUGGUGGUUGCUUUGGGGUCGAAAGCGUGCUUACGGCNNNNAAGUUGGCUAUCAAAAGGCUAGAACGUGAUUAAAUUCGUUAAGGAUGUUGACGUA